YUGAUAGUGGAGCUGUUGCUUCUUCCUUG
Molecule: transfer RNA, 29 nt
Filed under: Ursus arctos (brown bear)
Lineage: Eukaryota; Metazoa; Chordata; Mammalia; Carnivora; Ursidae
Description: partial tRNA-Pro
Source: RNAcentral